AUAAUUAUAUUAUUGUUUAUAUUUUUUUUUGUAAUUUAUUAAAAUUAUUUUUUUUUCUAUUAUUAUUUAGAAAAAAUUUAUAUUAUGAUAGCUAAUUAGUACUGAAAAGGAAAUUUUUAUUAUUUUAUAAGAAAAAUUUAAUUUUUGUACCUUGUGUUUCAUGGUCUAUUAAAAUUAUUUUAUAAAUUUAAUUUUCCCGAAUUAAAAAGAGCUAAAUAUAAAUAAAUAUUAUUGUUUCAUAAAUAUUUAAAAUUUUUAUUUAGGUGUUAUAUGCAAUUCAAUUUUUAUAAUAUCUGGUUUUUUUAAAAAAAAGUUCAAUUUUUUUAUUAAAUAUAAAAUUAUUAAAUUUUUAGUUUUUUUAUUUUAAUAAUAAUAUUUUAAGGGAUAAGCUUUAAAGUAUAUAAUAAAAAUUAUUUUUUUAUACAGUUAUUUAGGAUUAAAAAUUUCCAGUUUUUAAAAUUUUUUAUUAUUUUUUUGUUAUUAUUAUGAUUUAUAUUUAAUUUUAUUUUUUUAAGAAAAUAAUUUUAUAAAUAUUUUUUAAAAUUUAAUAAUGAUAGAAUUAGUAUUUAAAAUGUUUCAUUAUUAAUUUUAAGUAAAUUAAGCAAAGGAAUUCGGCAAAAUUUUACUCACCUGUUUAUUAAAAACAUGUCUUUUUGAAUUUUAUUUAAGGUUUAACCUGCCCAAUGAAUAUUUAAUGGCUGCAGUAUUUUGACUGUACAAAGGUAGCAUAAUCAGUAGUUUUUUAAUUGAAAGCUGGAAUGAAGGGUUGAAUGAAGUAAAAACUGUCUCUGUUUAAGUAAAAAAAUUUUAUUUUUAAGUAAAAAAGCUUAAAUUUUUAAAGAAGACGAUAAGACCCUAUAGAAUUUUAUAUUUUUUUUUAUUUAAUUUAUAGUAAUUUAAAUUUAAAUUUUUAAAAAUAUUUUAUUGGGGUGAUGAAAAAAUUUGAAAAACUUUUUAUUUUUAAACAUUAAUAUAUGAAUUUUUGAUCCUUUUUAAAGAUUAUAAGAUAAAUUACCUUAGGGAUAACAGCGUAAUUUCUUUUAAGAGUUCUUAUCGAAAAAGAAGUUUGCGACCUCGAUGUUGGAUUAAAAUUUAUAUUUGGCGCAGAAGCUUUAUAAUUGGGUCUGUUCGACCUUUAAAAUUUUACAUGAUCUGAGUUUAGACCGGCGUGAGCCAGGUUGGUUUCUAUCUCUUUAAAUUUAACAUUUUUUAGUACGAAAGGACCAAAAAUUUGUUUUAAAAAUUGGAAUUUUGAUUAAAAUUAUUAU
This 1268-nucleotide ribosomal RNA is filed under the name Curculionidae sp. BMNH 1039870. RNAcentral's name for it is "16S ribosomal RNA". The stretch from base 1022 to 1180 matches the Rfam family "Archaeal large subunit ribosomal RNA", at positions 2542 to 2701 of the family's 2987-position model. Lineage: Eukaryota; Metazoa; Arthropoda; Insecta; Coleoptera; Curculionidae. The record is from RNAcentral.